GUCAACCUGCUCGGGUCCCCUUCCAUGCUUUGGAAGCUUCGUUCUUUCACUCUUCACAAUAAAUCUUGCUGCUGCUCACUCUCUGGAUCUGCACCACCUUUAAGAGCUGUAACACUCGCUGUGAAGAUCCGUGGCUUCAUUCUUGAGGUCAGUGAGACCACGAACCCACCAGAAGGAAGAAACUCUGGACACAUCUGAAGGAACAAACUCCAGACACACCAUCUUUAAGAGCUGUAACACUCACUGAGAAGGUCCAUGGAUUCAUUCUUGAAGUCAGCAAGACCAAGAACCCACUGGAAGGAACCAACUCCGGACACAUCUUGGUGACCCAGAUGGGACUAUUGCCAAGCAGAUAGAGGCCAUCAAGCUACAGAAGGUCUUACAAAUGGAAUCCCAAAUGAGCUCAACUAACAACUUUUACCCAGGACACCUGGACCGACCCACUGGCCCUUUGGCCUAAAGAGUCCCCCUCUGGAGGACACUAUAACUGCAGGGCCCCUUCUUGACCCCUUUCCAGCAGGAAGUAGCUACAGCAGUCAUCGUCCAAUUCCCAAGAGCAGCUGGGGUGUCCUGUUUAGAGGGGGGAUUGAGCGGUGAAGCCAGCUGGACUUCCUGGGUCGAGUGGGGACUUGGAGAACUUUUCUGUCUAGCUAAAGGAUUGUCAAUGUACCAAUCAGCAUUCUGUAAAAAUGCACCAAUCAGUGCUCUGUGUCUAGCUAAAGGGUUGUAAACACACCAAUCAGCAUUCUGUAAAAAUGCACCAAUCAGUGCUCUGUGUCUAGCUAAAGGAUUGUAAAUGCACCAAUCAGCACUCUGUAAAAUGGACCAAUCAGCGCUCUGCAAAAUGGACCAAUCAGCAGGACAUAGGCGGAAACAAGUAAGGGAAUAAACUGGCCAACCCAGCCAGCAGUGGCAACCUGCUCGGGUCCCCUUCCAUGCUGUGGAAGCUUGGUUCUUUCAUUCUUCACAAUAAAUUUGCUGCUGCUCACUUUUUGGGUCUGCACCAUCUUUAAGAGUUGUAACACUCACCACAAAGGUCUGUGGCUUCAUUCUUGAAGUCAGCGAGACCAAGAACCCAUCAGAAGGAAGCAACUCGACACAUCUGAAGGAAUAAACUCUGGACACACCAUUUUUAAGAGCUGUAACACUCACCAUGAAGGUUCAUGGCUUCAUUCUUAAAGUCAGUGAGACCAAGAACCCACUGGAAGGAACCAACACUGGAGACAUAAUCACAAUAUUAUCAUGAUGCUACCAUGAUUUUUCAUGGGAUAUAAUGAUGCUCUCUAAUAAGCACUUAAAAAUUGUGUACAUUAUGCUAUGUUCCUUAGUAUCAUUACCUUUGUAUCUCUACAAGACGCUCUGAUCAGUCCUCUGAUUUGUAUUAUCUGCAUGUUCCCUUGCCCCCUCUUCUUGACACUUUUCAUUAAUAGAUUUUCCUACUCCAAAACUUUUUUUUCCAUUCAUAGGUUUCCCUACUCAAAAAAUUUCUCUUGUUUUUCUCCUCAAUAUUAUUCUCUGUCUGUAUGUCUCUCUUUCUUUCUUUGUCUUACUGUUAUACAUAAAGACAGUCCAGAGCAGAUCAAAACAUAGUCAUUUUUGCCAAGCAGGAUCUUCUCAAAAGGAUGUGUGUGGAAAGCUUAUUGAAUUCAAUAGCAAAAUAACAUCUAGAUUUAAUUGCUUUGAGUUUUGAAUAAUAAUAUGUGUUUAACUUUGUAUCUCAAUAAUAUUAAAAUACAAAUUGAGUUUUUUGGGGUUUAUCAUGAAGAAGUAGGCUUCUAUAUGGUUGAGAAACCAAAAAGAAUUUCUCUGUGCAGUCGCAGAACUGAAAGAUGACUAAUAUAUCAGCGCCUUAUU
This is a long non-coding RNA of Pan troglodytes (chimpanzee), 1854 nucleotides long. RefSeq lists it as uncharacterized. The transcript is spliced from 2 exons. Lineage: Eukaryota; Metazoa; Chordata; Mammalia; Primates; Hominidae. The record is from RefSeq and is a predicted model, not a curated record.